UCAUGUAUUUCUGUUUAAAACCGCAACAUGUAAUUAUUUGAUGUCGUGAAAUGUCUAUAUAUAUAUUUUGUUUACAUUCUUAAGUUAGCCUCCAGACUAUCUACAUUGUCAUGGUAACCUUGGUAGGUUAUAAUAUGCAGAUCGAUAAUCCCGGUUCAGUUUGAGCUUUCCAUGUGUCUUUUUAGCCGAAUAUUAGGAUCACAACUUAACUUAAAUUAGCCGUAUAGUGUCAAUGGGCGUCAUCUGAAGCUAAUAAGAUGUUGUUACUGAAGAACAGCCCCUUGCUACUUACUUGAACAGUACGUGAAAAACACCCUAAAUAGAUUAAAGAAAUCAUACUUGACUGUGAUUGCAUUUGGUUGACGCUUACGUGUAUUUCUCAUCAGUAGAUCAAGGGGGUAAUCUUCUACAUUUCAGGUCCAAGCUUUCAAUGCAUUUUUCUAUCUUUUUUUCAUAUCCCAAUCAUCAUCUGCAAGGCCGAAGCAUGCAUGUCUACAUGGUUUUGUGGCACUGAUUUCGUUCCAUGCCAGUUUAUUUCUAACAGUUGGUCUGCUUCUUCAUAGAGAUUUUAUCAGUAUACUAAAUUAAAUAAGAAACUGAAUGUGUACUGCUUUUACCUUCAGUUUGAACAUGAUUGUCCUAUUUGUGACAUAGGUGAAAAUUAGCAAGCAAGCAACAGUCGGUGCAUGGAUGACCAAGUUUACUUUUUACUUUAUGAAGAUGAUGAUUCCUAAAUAGAAUUACGAGCUAGGUCCUGCAUGUUGACCGUGCUUCAAGGGUAGAAGAGAAUGGGAGGAGGGGACGCGCGCUCCAUAUUUUGUUAUGCACACCUUCCUAAACUAUACUUUUCUUCUUAAUAUAUGUUCAUUGUCCAGCAGAAGCUGUAGAUUUCAGCGUACAAUAAUUUCCAAAAUGGUAGAAGGCAUUCAAGAUCUGGCAGGGCUGGGUCAACCGGCCCUUCGUGUUCAAGACCCGGCUCUGAUGAGCCUUGACAGUCCUGCUACCGGCUGGGCAUCGUCAUCCUGAGCCAUGUCCGGAACCAGACCAGUAGGGGCACCCUAAGCGAGCACUCGAGGCAUGCUGUCAAG
Molecule: long non-coding RNA, 1088 nt
Organism: Triticum dicoccoides
Lineage: Eukaryota; Viridiplantae; Streptophyta; Magnoliopsida; Poales; Poaceae
Exons: 3
Source: RefSeq, a predicted model, not a curated record